GCUUGUCUCAAAGAUUAAGCCAUGCAUGUCUUAGUGUAAAUAACUCUUAUGAAACUGCGAAUGGCUCAUUAAAUCAGUUAUCAAAUACGUGAUGGUCGCCUACUACAUGGAUAACCGUAGUAAUUCUAGAGUAUGGAUGAGUCCGCUCUAUUCAGGAGGGUUUUCCCUCUGUUGACCAUCGAGUUCGAGGGUUGAAUACUUAGGCUUCGGCUUCUGUUGAAAGCUUUAUCGGUGGCCGGGAAGAUAUGUUUCUAAUCUAUUAGCCAGACUAUUGGGUAAGGUCCAAUUUUCGGCUAUAAUGGAUACAGGGGAUCGGUGUCCGACUCUGGAGAGAGAGCCUGAGAAACGGCUAUCACAUCUAAGGAAGGCAGCAGG
This 375-nucleotide ribosomal RNA is filed under the name uncultured fungus. RNAcentral describes it as "partial small subunit ribosomal RNA". It matches the Rfam family "Eukaryotic small subunit ribosomal RNA", at positions 30 to 432 of the family's 1831-position model. Lineage: Eukaryota; Fungi. The record is from RNAcentral.